GGUGUUGCAUGGCUGUCGUCAGCUCGUGUCGUGAGAUGUUGGGUUAAGUCCCGCAACGAGCGCAACCCUCAUCCUUAGUUACCAUCAGGUAAUGCUGGGGACUUUAAGGAAACUGCCAGUGAUAAACUGGAGGAAGGUGGGGAUGAUGUCAAGUCAUCAUGGCCCUUAUGGAGUGGGCUACACACGUGCUACAAUGGUGGCUACAAUGGGCUGCAAAGUCGCGAGGCUAAGCUAAUCCCUUAAAAGCCAUCUCAGUUCGGACUGUACUCUGCAACUCGAGUGCAUGAAGUUGGAAUCGCUAGUAAUCGUGGAUCAGCACGCCACGGUGAAUACGUUCCCGGGUCUUGUACACAC
RNAcentral lists this ribosomal RNA (354 nucleotides) under uncultured bacterium. RNAcentral's name for it is "bacterial SSU rRNA". It matches the Rfam family "Bacterial small subunit ribosomal RNA", at positions 1037 to 1390 of the family's 1533-position model. The record is from RNAcentral.